GACGAACGCUGGCGGCGUGCUUAACACAUGCAAGUCGAACGGUGAAGCGCCUUCCUUUUUGGUGGGUGUGGAUGAGUGGCGAACGGGUGAGUAACACGUUAGUAACCUGCCCCCUUCUUCUGGAUAACCGCAUGAAAGUGUGGCUAAUACGGGAUAUUCUGUGUCUGUCGCAUGAUGGGUCUGUGAAAGAUAUUGUUUCGGUGGGGGAUGGGCUCGCGGCCUAUCAGCUUGUUGGUGGGGUGGUGGCCUACCAAGGCGGUGACGGGUAGCCGGCCUGAGAGGAGGGUCGGCCGUCACAGUGGGGAGGCAAGGUCGAGAAGACUACUGGAGGCGGCAGUGGGGGAGAAUGUUGAACGAGGGGAGCAAGGAUGAUGCAGCGCCGCCGCGGGAGGGAUGGAGGCCGGCGGGUUGUGAACCUCUUUCGCCAGUGAAGCAGGCCUGCCUCGUUUGUGGGUGGGUUGACGGUAGCUGGAUAAGAAGCGCCGGCUAACUACGUG
This 497-nucleotide ribosomal RNA is filed under the name uncultured bacterium. RNAcentral's name for it is "partial 16S ribosomal RNA". It matches the Rfam family "Bacterial small subunit ribosomal RNA", at positions 28 to 507 of the family's 1533-position model. The record is from RNAcentral.